AUUGAACGCUGACGGCAGGCCUAACACAUGCAAGUCGGACGGUAGCACAGAGGAGCUUGCUCCUCGGGUGACGAGUGGCGGACGGGUGAGUAAUGUCUGGGGAUCUGCCCGAUAGAGGGGGAUAACCACUGGAAACGGUGGCUAAUACCGCAUAACGUCGCAAGACCAAAGAGGGGGACCUUCGGGCCUCUCACUAUCGGAUGAACCCAGAUGGGAUUAGCUAGUAGGCGGGGUAACGGCCCACCUAGGCGACGAUCCCUAGCUGGUCUGAGAGGAUGACCAGCCACACUGGAACUGAGACACGGUCCAGACUCCUACGGGAGGCAGCAGUGGGGAAUAUUGCACAAUGGGCGCAAGCCUGAUGCAGCCAUGCCGCGUGUAUGAAGAAGGCCUUCGGGUUGUAAAGUACUUUCAGCGGGGAGGAAGGCGAUAAGGUUAAUAACCUUGUCGAUUGACGUUACCCGCAGAAGAAGCACCGGCUAACUCCGUGCCAGCCGCCGCGGUAA
RNAcentral lists this ribosomal RNA (506 nucleotides) under uncultured bacterium. RNAcentral's name for it is "partial 16S ribosomal RNA". It matches the Rfam family "Bacterial small subunit ribosomal RNA", at positions 29 to 523 of the family's 1533-position model. The record is from RNAcentral.